This 448-nucleotide ribosomal RNA is filed under the name uncultured bacterium. Its description in RNAcentral is "partial 16S ribosomal RNA". It matches the Rfam family "Bacterial small subunit ribosomal RNA", at positions 29 to 523 of the family's 1533-position model. The record is from RNAcentral.
AGCGAACGCUGGCGGCAGGCUUAACACAUGCAAGUCGAGCGCCGUAGCAAUACGGAGCGGCAGACGGGUGAGUAACACGAGGGAACGUACCUUUUGGUUCGGAACAACACGGGGAAACUUGUGCUAAUAGCGGAUAAGCCCUUACGGGGAAAGAUUUAUUGCCGAAAGAUCGGCCCGCGUCUGAUUAGCUAGUUGGUGAGGGAACGGCUCACCAAGGCGACGAUCAGUAGCUGGUCUGAGAGGAUGAUCAGCCACACUGGACUGAGACACGGCCCAGACUCCUACGGGAGGCAGCAGUGGGGAAUAUUGGACAAUGGGCGCAAGCCUGAUCCAGCCAUGCCGCGUGAGUGAUGAAGGCCCUAGGGUUGUAAAGCUCUUUUGUGCGGGAAGAUAAUGACUGUACCGCAAGAAUAAGCCCCGGCUAACUUCGUGCCAGCAGCCGCCGUAA